This 73-nucleotide transfer RNA is filed under the name Candidatus Nesciobacter abundans. It matches the Rfam family "tRNA". Rfam says of the family: Transfer RNA (tRNA) molecules are approximately 80 nucleotides in length. Their secondary structure includes four short double-helical elements and three loops (D, anti-codon, and T loops). Further hydrogen bonds mediate the characteristic L-shaped molecular structure. tRNAs have two regions of fundamental functional importance: the anti-codon, which is responsible for specific mRNA codon recognition, and the 3' end, to which the tRNAs corresponding amino acid is attached (by aminoacyl-tRNA synthetases). tRNAs cope with the degeneracy of the genetic code in two manners: having more than one tRNA (with a specific anti-codon) for a particular amino acid; and 'wobble' base-pairing, i.e. permitting non-standard base-pairing at the 3rd anti-codon position. Lineage: Bacteria; Pseudomonadati; Pseudomonadota; Alphaproteobacteria; Holosporales; Holosporaceae. The record is from Rfam by way of RNAcentral.
GCCGGGUUAGCUCAGUUGGUAGAGCGGCUGAUUUGUAAUCAGUAGGUCGUUGGUUCGAAUCCAAUACCCGGCA